RNAcentral lists this unclassified non-coding RNA (240 nucleotides) under soil metagenome. Its description in RNAcentral is "partial contains 5.8S ribosomal RNA, internal transcribed spacer 2, and large subunit ribosomal RNA". The record is from RNAcentral.
AACGCACGAGACCUGCGGACCUGCGGAAGGAUCACUACCGAGUUUACAACUCCCAAACCCAAUGUGAACGUUACCAAACUGUUGCCUCGGCGGGAUCUCUGCCCCGGGUGCGUCGCAGCCCCGGACCAAGGCGCCCGCCGGAGGACCAACCAAAACUCUUAUUGUAUACCCCCUCGCGGGUUUUUUUAUAAUCUGAGCCUUCUCGGCGCCUCUCGUAGGCGUUUCGAAAAUGAAUCAAAA